Molecule: non-coding RNA, 1072 nt
Organism: Callorhinus ursinus (northern fur seal)
Lineage: Eukaryota; Metazoa; Chordata; Mammalia; Carnivora; Otariidae
Source: RefSeq, a predicted model, not a curated record
CGGGAGUGGGGGGUGUUGUACACAAUCAUCAUGGCGGCGGCCGGAGCCCCGGAUGGCACGGAGGAACCUGGCGUGGACACGGAGGCCGAGACUGUGACGACCGAGGCCCCCGCGCGACCCCUGACCUGCGUGGAGGCCGAGGCCGCGGCGGGGGGGCGGCGGCCGAGGACUCUUGCGCGGCGCGAGGUAGCCUGCAGCCGGCGCCGGCCCAGCCCCCUGGGGACCCUGCGGCCCACGCCUCGGUCAGCAACGGCGAGGAUGCGGGCGGCGGCGCGGCCAGGGAGCCGGUGGACUUGAAGAUCAUCUGGAAUGAGACUAAACACGACGUGAAGUUCCCCCUCGACAGCACAGGCUCCGAACUAAAACAGAAGAUUCACUCGAUUACAGGUCUCCCUCCUGCCAUGCAGAAAGUCAUGGAUAAGGGACUCGUCCCUGAGGAUAAGACGUUGAGAGAAAUAAAAGCGAGCAGCGGAGCCAAGAUCAUGGUGGUCGGCUCCACGAUAAAUGAUGUUUUAGCCGUAAACACACCCAAAGAUGCUGCCCAGCAGGAUGCAAAGGCUGAAGAGAACAAGAAGGAACCCCUCUGCCGGCAGAAACAACACAGGAAAGUGUUGGAUAAAGGAAAACCCAAAGAUGUGAUGCCAUCUGUUAAGGGUGCCCAGGAGCGCCUACCAACGGUACCCUUGUCCGGCAUGUACAACAAAUCCGGAGGCAAAGUGAGACUCACCUUCAAGCUGGAACAAGAUCAGCUGUGGAUCGGCACUAAAGAGCGGACUGAGAAAUUGCCCAUGGGCUCCAUCAAAAAUGUGGUCAGUGAACCUAUCGAAGGACAUGAAGGCUACCACAUGAUGGCGUUUCAGCUGGGCCCCACGGAAGCCUCUUACUACUGGGUGUACUGGGUCCCAACUCAGUAUGUGGAUGCAGUCAAAGAUACUGUGCUGGGGAAGUGGCAGUAUUUUUGAAAGCACUUUCACCUCUGGCCCAGGAGACUGACCCAAAGCGAAGGACAUUGCUGGGAGAGGCCUGCAGCAUCCCUGGAUUUCAGAGUUCUGGGACUUUGUUCAAAAACAAA